This 352-nucleotide transfer-messenger RNA is filed under the name Vulcanimicrobiota. RNAcentral describes it as "JACPDT01 sp016183865 Standard tmRNA". It matches the Rfam family "transfer-messenger RNA". From Rfam's summary of the family: Bacterial tmRNA, also known as 10Sa RNA or SsrA, is named for its dual tRNA and mRNA-like properties. Lineage: Bacteria; Bacillati. The record is from RNAcentral. RNAcentral also lists the same sequence under 1 other name.
GGGGGCGUUUUGGAUUCGACGGGGAGUGUUCGGAUAGCAGCAGCAGGUCGAGGAUUCCGCUUGGCCUCGUAAAAAAAGCGGAGAAACUGUACACGCGAACAAAGAACUCGCAAUCGCUGCUUAAAUGCAGUCCGUCCUGUAAGCUUCCGCCGGUGGAGUUUAUAAGGGCGUCAAAAGAGCCGGCUACUGACCGCCUGAAGCUCGUAAGGCGUAAAGGAAUCUUAACGAGCUGGAAGAAACUGAUCCUGUUGAAGGGAGCGGUUCUCUUCGAGAAACAAAACUUCAACUAAGCUUGUAGAAGCUGCUGUCAGGGUCUCUUCGGACGCGGGUUCGAGUCCCGCCGCCUCCACCA